This 253-nucleotide ribosomal RNA is filed under the name uncultured bacterium. RNAcentral's name for it is "partial 16S ribosomal RNA". It matches the Rfam family "Bacterial small subunit ribosomal RNA", at positions 524 to 776 of the family's 1533-position model. The record is from RNAcentral.
UACGUAGGGUGCGAGCGUUGUCCGGAAUUAUUGGGCGUAAAGAGCUUGUAGGCGGUCUGUCGCGUCUGCUGUGAAAAUCCGGGGCUCAACCCCGGACUUGCAGUGGGUACGGGCAGACUAGAGUGUGGUAGGGGAGACUGGAAUUCCUGGUGUAGCGGUGAAAUGCGCAGAUAUCAGGAGGAACACCGAUGGCGAAGGCAGAUCUCUGGGCCACUACUGACGCUGAGAAGCGAAAGCAUGGGGAGCGAACAGG